This 397-nucleotide ribosomal RNA is filed under the name uncultured bacterium. Its description in RNAcentral is "partial 16S ribosomal RNA". It matches the Rfam family "Bacterial small subunit ribosomal RNA", at positions 523 to 918 of the family's 1533-position model. The record is from RNAcentral.
AUACGUAGGGGGCGAGCGUUGUCCGGAAUGAUUGGGCGUAAAGGGCGCGUAGGCGGCGCGGUAAGUCUGGAGUGAAAGUCCUGCUUUCAAGGUGGGAAUUGCUUUGGAUACUGCCGCGCUUGAGUGCAGGAGAGGUUAUCGGAAUUCCCGGUGUAGCGGUGAAAUGCGUAGAGAUCGGGAGGAACACCAGUGGCGAAGGCGGGUAACUGGACUGCAACUGACGCUGAGGCGCGAAAGUGUGGAGAGCAAACAGGAUUAGAUACCCUGGUAGUCCACACGGUAAACGAUGAAUGCUAGGUGUAAGAGGUAUCGACCCCUUUUGUGCCGGAGUCAACACAAUAAGCAUUCCGCCUGGGGAGUACGGCCGCAAGGUUGAAACUCAAAUGAAUUGACGGGG